UGACGUGAGAGCCGCUCUUUAUUUUGAAGUGGUUGUUCUGUUGUCAUGGUAACCAGAGGCUUCCCCUCUGUCAUUUCCGGCUGUCCGACACGACCAGCUGGGCUUUGAUUUUUAUGCUUCCUUCACAACGGCACAAGUUUAAAGUGCUGAGACAGUGAGAUGCAACUGAGCGCCGCCUGUCUGGAAAGCCACAGCUAAUCCCUCCAUGACCUCUCCAUGCUGGGAAGCCGAAAGACUGUGGAGGAGCACGGGAGUAGAAGCAGCACCUGAAAUUUGCAUCCAGUCGUCUUGCAGCCCGAGAGCCAGCACCAUUGGGAGCCCGACCCCGAGGAUGAGAGUGAGGCUCUCCAGGAGCCCGAGGCGUCGCUGCUUGUGGGCCUCGGCUCCAGUGUGCUGCUGGAAGUCAGA
Molecule: long non-coding RNA, 408 nt
Organism: Siniperca chuatsi (mandarin fish)
Lineage: Eukaryota; Metazoa; Chordata; Actinopteri; Centrarchiformes; Sinipercidae
Exons: 3
Source: RefSeq, a predicted model, not a curated record